RNAcentral lists this ribosomal RNA (396 nucleotides) under Triticum aestivum (bread wheat). RNAcentral describes it as "partial small subunit ribosomal RNA". The record is from RNAcentral. Lineage: Eukaryota; Viridiplantae; Streptophyta; Magnoliopsida; Poales; Poaceae.
AUGCCGAAGACCGGGCAGCGGACGCCUCACGGGGUGGAGGAGAGGUCGAUGGGCGGAGCCGUUCGCUCGCCGGACGUGGCGGCGCCAGGUUCCAGAUCGGACGCAGGCUCACUGGUUUUGGUUCAGUUUGAAGGGCUCUCGGGACAAAAGAUAAUUGAGUUGUUGAAUCUGAAUGGGCGCCGCGAGGAGUGGAGGAUCGAGGUCGUGGGUUGCCAGCUUCAAAUUUUGGUUGAGCACUUCCUCAAUAAUCUUGUUGAGCUCCGCAAGGAGUUGAAGGCUGAGGUCAUGGUUGCCAGCUUCAAUUUUUUGCUGAGCAAUUCCUCAAGAGUCUUGCCAAGAUCUGAGGAUGAAGGGAAGAAGAAGGAUUUAACUAAAGAGUUGAAGAAGAUGAAGGUG